This 372-nucleotide ribosomal RNA is filed under the name uncultured organism. RNAcentral's name for it is "partial 16S ribosomal RNA". It matches the Rfam family "Bacterial small subunit ribosomal RNA", at positions 527 to 896 of the family's 1533-position model. The record is from RNAcentral.
GUAGGUGGCAAGCGUUGCCGGAAUUAUUGGGCGUAAAGCGCGCGCAGGCGGUUCUUUAAGUCUGAUGUGAAAGCCCACGGCUCAACCGUGGAGGGUCAUUGGAAACUGGAGAACUUGAGUACAGAAGAGGAAAGCGGAAUUCCACGUGUAGCGGUGAAAUGCGUAGAGAUGUGGAGGAACACCAGUGGCGAAGGCGGCUUUCUGGUCUGUAACUGACGCUGAGGCGCGAAAGCGUGGGGAGCAAACAGGAUUAGAUACCCUGGUAGUCCACGCCGUAAACGAUGAGUGCUAAGUGUUAGGGGGGUUUCCGCCCCCCUUAGUGCUGCAGCUAACGCAUUAAGCACUCCGCCUGGGAGUACGGCCGCAAGGCUG